RNAcentral lists this unclassified non-coding RNA (310 nucleotides) under Basidiomycota sp. Its description in RNAcentral is "partial contains small subunit ribosomal RNA, internal transcribed spacer 1, and 5.8S ribosomal RNA". The stretch from base 1 to 47 matches the Rfam family "Eukaryotic small subunit ribosomal RNA", at positions 1785 to 1831 of the family's 1831-position model. Lineage: Eukaryota; Fungi; Basidiomycota. The record is from RNAcentral.
AAAGUCGUAACAAGGUUUCCGUAGGUGAACCUGCGGAAGGAUCAUUAAUGAAGAAAGUUGGGAAGGGGGGUUGUCGCUGGCUUUUUUAGAGCAUGUGCACGCCUUCUUAAACUCCUUUACCACCUGUGCACCUUUUCUUUGUAGACCCACAUCAAGAAGGAUUUGCCAGCCUUCUUUUUAGGUUGGCUUACCUUGCCCUUUUGGUGUCUAUGUAUUUUUCUUAAACACAGUUUUGAAUGUCAAUCUAGAAAAAGGGCCUUGUGUUCUUUUGAAAUCUAUACAACUUUCAACAACGGAUCUCUUGGCUCUC